Molecule: transfer RNA, 71 nt
Filed under: Columba livia (rock pigeon)
Lineage: Eukaryota; Metazoa; Chordata; Aves; Columbiformes; Columbidae
Description: tRNA-Ile
Source: RNAcentral
GAAAAUGUGCCUGAACUCAAGGGUCAUUAUGAUAAAGUGAACACAGAGGUACACUAACCCUCUCAUUUCCU